GUGAGGCAGCAGUGGGUAAUUUAUAUCAAUGGGGGAAAGCAUGAUCCAUCCAUCCAGCGUGUGCGAUGAAGGCCUUCGGGUUGUAAAGCACUUUUGGCAGGAAAGAAACGUCAUGGGUUAAUACCCCGUGAAACUGACGGUCCCUGCAGAACAAGCACCGGCUAACUACGUGCCAGCAGCCGCGGUAAUACGUAGGGUGCAAGCGUUAAUCGGAAUUACUGGGCGUAAAGCGUGCGCAGCCGGUUCGGAAAGAAAGAUGUGAAAUCCCAGAGCUUAACUUUGAAACUGCAUUUUUAACUACCGGGCUAGAGUGUGUCAGAGGGAGGUGGAAUUCCGCGUGUAGCAGUGAAAUGCGUAGAUAUGCGGAGGAACACCGAUGGCGAAGGCAGCCUCCUGGGAUAACACUGACGCUCAUGCACGAAAGCGUGGGGAGCAAACAGGAUUAGAUACCCUGGUAGUCCACGCCCUAAACGAUGUCAACUAGCUGUUGGGGCGUUCGGCCCUUGGUAGCGCAGGUAACGCGUGAAGUUGCCCGCCUGGGGAGUACGGUCGCAAGAUUAAAAUUCAAAGGAAUGAGGG
This 579-nucleotide ribosomal RNA is filed under the name uncultured beta proteobacterium. Its description in RNAcentral is "bacterial SSU rRNA". It matches the Rfam family "Bacterial small subunit ribosomal RNA", at positions 343 to 915 of the family's 1533-position model. The record is from RNAcentral. Lineage: Bacteria; Pseudomonadati; Pseudomonadota; Betaproteobacteria.